AUGAAUGAAGGAAGGGACUGAAUUGCAGAUAUCCUAGAUGAAUGACAUUGGCAUCUGUAAUACUCUCGUGAUAUUUUAUGUGGCUUAUGUACUUGUUCAUAUAUAUUUACACAUGCUUGUAGGUACACAAGCAUUUGCAUAUGCACAUGCACUUGAGUAUGUGUGCACACAUGCCUUUGGGUGUGGGCCCAAAGUUGACUCGUUGGGUGACUUCUUCCAUUGCCCUCCCUUAUUUUUUGUGAUAGAGUCUCUUAUUGAACCUGGAUCUCAUCCAUCUGUGGAGGUUCAGUGGCCAGUGAAUUUCAGGGUUUCCCAACCCCAGAGCCCCACUCCUCUAAGACCCUGUCUUCCUUGUCCCCAGGGCUGGGAUCAUAGUCACAGGUGCAGUCUGCCAUGCCCAGCUUGUACGUUGAUCCUGAGGUUCUGAGCUGUUUCAGUUCCUACAGCAAGCUCUAUACUAACUGAGUCAUCUCUCUCCUAAUUUUAUACAGAAAAAAAAAAAA
This 503-nucleotide long non-coding RNA is filed under the name Rattus norvegicus (Norway rat). Its description in RNAcentral is "long non-coding RNA NONRATT020320". Lineage: Eukaryota; Metazoa; Chordata; Mammalia; Rodentia; Muridae. The record is from RNAcentral.